RNAcentral lists this ribosomal RNA (1361 nucleotides) under metagenome. Its description in RNAcentral is "bacterial SSU rRNA". It matches the Rfam family "Eukaryotic small subunit ribosomal RNA", at positions 718 to 1799 of the family's 1831-position model. The record is from RNAcentral.
GGAGCUGUUGCGCCCCCGGGUGUGACGAUCCAACCGCAUUGCGGAACAAACCCACUGCGUUCGACCUUCACUCUUCACACGCGGAACCAUUGGGGCUGUGGAAACCUCCUUGAUUGGUGGUAGAAGCGCUUCCGCAUUCAACACAUGCAUAUGCCCCUGUCCGUGGAGGUUACUGUGAACAAAACAGCGUGUCCAAAGCAACCACAUGUCUGGCUGAAUGAUCUAGCAUGGAAUAACAAGGCAUCGACCACUGGAGUCAGCCUUUUUGUUGGUUUUACAUGACCCAGUUGGGCAAUGCAGGGCUUGUGCUUCAUUGAGGUUCUUAGUCAGCUCUACCGAACUGUCUUCCCUCAGUUGGACCUUGUUCCCUAUCGGGAUCAAUGGAAGCCAUCGGGGUGGUAUGUAUUCCGACGUGAGCGGUGAAAUGCUUAGACCGUUGGAAGACAAACGACAGCGAAGGCAUUCCGCCAGAAUGUUUUCAUUAAUCAAGAACGAGAGUGUGGGGAUCGAAGAUGAUCAGAUACCAUCGUAGUCCAUUACCGUAAACUAUGCCAACUCGGCAUUGGGAGUCUGUUCACUUUGAAGACUCUCCCAGCAUCAUCCCCCAAUAACGAGAAAUCCAAGUCUAUGGGUUCAGGGGGGAGUACAGUCGCAAGGCUGAAACUUAAAUGAAUUGACGGAAUGACACCACAAGGCGUGGAGUAUGCGGCUUAAUUUGACCCAACACGGGGAAGCUUACCAGGUCAGACACAGUAAGGAUUGACAGAUUGAGAGCUCUUUCUUGAUCCUAUGGAUGGUGGUGCAUGGCCGUUUCUGGUUCGUGGAGUGAUCUGUCUGCUUAAUUGCGAUAACGAACGAGAUCUCUACCUCUAAAUAGGCGCCGGUCUCGCAUGUAAGUAGGGAUGUGUUGGGGGCCUUCGUGUCCCCUCAUGUCCUGAGAGUGCCGGGAUCGCUUCUUAGACGGACUGUGCAUGUCUUUAAUGCACGGAAGAGGGAGUCAAUAGCAGGUCUGUGAUGCUCCUAGAUGUUCUGGGCUGCACGCGCACUACACUGGCACAGUAAACGAGUUGCACCUGCUUCGGCAGUCCUGCUUAGAAGUGAGCGUGGGAAAUCUUAGAAAACUGUGCCGUGCUGGGGAUAGAUGAUUGCGAUUAUUUGUCUUGAACGAGGAAUGCCUAGUAGAGGUACUUCAUCAGAGUACCUUGAUUGUGUCCCUGCCAUUUGUACACACCGCCCGUCGUUGCUACCGAUUGGCUGUAAAAUAGAGGCCUUAAGAGUCGCUUCCGCAAAGCUUUGCUUUUGAGGUUGUGACAAAUCUGGCCAAUAUUUCAUUGCUAGAGGAAGCAAAAGUCGUAACAAGG